This 253-nucleotide ribosomal RNA is filed under the name uncultured bacterium. RNAcentral's name for it is "partial 16S ribosomal RNA". It matches the Rfam family "Bacterial small subunit ribosomal RNA", at positions 524 to 776 of the family's 1533-position model. The record is from RNAcentral.
UACGUAGGUGGCGAGCGUUGUCCGGAUUUACUGGGCGUAAAGGGAGCGUAGGCGGACUUUUAAGUGAGAUGUGAAAUACUCGGGCUCAACUUGAGUGCUGCAUUUCAAACUGGAAGUCUAGAGUGCAGGAGAGGAGAAUGGAAUUCCUAGUGUAGCGGUGAAAUGCGUAGAGACUAGGAAGAACACCAGUGGCGAAGGCGGUUCUCUGGACUGUAACUGACGCUGAGGCUCGAAAGCGUGGGGAGCAAACAGG